CUCUAACCCCGAUAGGAGCGGCAUCCUUUUUUUCACCUUUCGGGGGAAAAAAGAUAUAGCGGAUAGCGGGACGAUGC
This 77-nucleotide small RNA is filed under the name Flavobacterium sp. 9R. RNAcentral's name for it is "Flavo-1". It matches the Rfam family "Flavo-1 RNA". The record is from RNAcentral. Lineage: Bacteria; Pseudomonadati; Bacteroidota; Flavobacteriia; Flavobacteriales; Flavobacteriaceae.